Molecule: long non-coding RNA, 274 nt
Filed under: Physcomitrium patens
Lineage: Eukaryota; Viridiplantae; Streptophyta; Bryopsida; Funariales; Funariaceae
Description: long non-coding RNA (PPAT_LNC012832)
Source: RNAcentral
UCUACAAGCUUGAACUUAUUAUUAUAAGGAUGCUGCUUGAUAUUACAAAGUAAAAAAUUCUUAGCACAUGUUGCAUGAAUUUAUUCAAGAAAACUUAAAUCAAUAGAUAUAAUCAUAGAAAUAGCACAAAGAUAAAAUUAUUCUAGUUUCAAGAGAAUGACAUAUUAUUAAUUAAAUACUAUCUUUUUAGCCUUUGGAGUAAGAUAUGAUCUUCUUAAUAAAGUGUCUAAUAGUCCUUGCUGCUAUUCUAUUCCAUAUAUAAUCACAAAAUCAA